This is a long non-coding RNA of Neltuma alba, 546 nucleotides long. RefSeq lists it as uncharacterized. Lineage: Eukaryota; Viridiplantae; Streptophyta; Magnoliopsida; Fabales; Fabaceae. The transcript has 3 exons. The record is from RefSeq and is a predicted model, not a curated record.
UGCGCUGGUACUCCAUCGCAGGCAAGCGACAUUAUUUCUUCAUCUUCUUGGUUGAUAUCCAGGAUGGCAACUUCCAGUGCAAAGCAAUUGUUUUGCUACCUCCAUAUAGGAGGACAAUUUAUUAAUGGUGUAGAAGGUGAAACGCAGUAUGUUGGAGGUGGUGUGAGAACAAGAAUGAUAAAGGAAGGGACAUCAUAUGGAGAAUUUAGAACAAUGGUGGCAUCAAUUGUGGGAAAAGAAAGUAAUGGAAUGGUUAUGAAAUUCACAGUAACCUUUGAUGAGUGUACAUUUGUGGACCUUGUAGAUGAUGAAGGAGUAGAACAUUUGAUUAACUUCAAUGGCGACAGUGGUCAUGUAUAUAUAGGAGAAAAUGGAGAUCAAAAUUCACAACUAACAAGGGAUGUUGUAAUAGAAGAGCAACAUGUGAUGGAAGACUUGUUCGGAGGUUCAGAUACAUUGUCCAUGUCUCCACCUAAUGUGGUUAGUGAAGACCCACUAUUGUUGCCAUGUGGUUCAGAAAUGAUGCCAACCCCAAUUCCGGAAAUG